GGUCAGGGAUGAGCUCGCGGCCUAUCAGCUUGUUGGUGAGGUAACGGCUCACCAAGGCGUCGACGGGUAGCCGGCCUGAGAGGGUGACCGGCCACACUGGGACUGAGACACGGCCCAGACUCCUACGGGAGGCAGCAGUGGGGAAUAUUGCACAAUGGGCGAAAGCCUGAUGCAGCAACGCCGCGUGAGGGACGACGGCCUUCGGGUUGUAAACCUCUUUUAGCAGGGAAGAAGCGAAAGUGACGGUACCUGCAGAAAAAGCACCGGCUAACUACGUGCCAGCAGCCGCGGUAAUACGUAGGGUGCAAGCGUUAUCCGGAAUUAUUGGGCGUAAAGAGCUCGUAGGCGGUUUGUCGCGUCUGCUGUGAAAACCCGAGGCUCAACCUCGGGCCUGCAGUGGGUACGGGCAGACUAGAGUGCGGUAGGGGAGAUUGGAAUUCCUGGUGUAGCGGUGGAAUGCGCAGAUAUCAGGAGGAACACCGAUGGCGAAGGCAGAUCUCUGGGCCGUAACUGACGCUGAGGAGCGAAAGGGUGGGGAGCAAACAGGCUUAGAUACCCUGGUAGUCCACCCCGUAAACGUUGGGAACUAGUUGUGGGGUCCAUUCCACGGAUUCCGUGACGCAGCUAACGC
RNAcentral lists this ribosomal RNA (631 nucleotides) under Microbacterium sp. Its description in RNAcentral is "bacterial SSU rRNA". It matches the Rfam family "Bacterial small subunit ribosomal RNA", at positions 217 to 858 of the family's 1533-position model. Lineage: Bacteria; Bacillati; Actinomycetota; Actinomycetes; Micrococcales; Microbacteriaceae. The record is from RNAcentral.